Molecule: ribosomal RNA, 301 nt
Filed under: uncultured bacterium
Lineage: Bacteria
Description: partial 16S ribosomal RNA
Rfam family: Bacterial small subunit ribosomal RNA
Source: RNAcentral
CAGCAGCCGCGGUAAUACGAAGGGUGCAAGCGUUAAUCGGAAUUACUGGGCGUAAAGCGUGCGUAGGCGGUUUGUUAAGACAGAUGUGAAAUCCCCGGGCUCAACCUGGGAACUGCACUUGUGACUGGCAAGCUAGAGUGUGGCAGAGGGGGGUGGAAUUCCGCGUGUAGCAGUGAAAUGCGUAGAUAUGCGGAGGAACACCGAUGGCGAAGGCAGCCCCCUGGGCCAACACUGACGCUCAUGCACGAAAGCGUGGGGAGCAAACAGGAUUAGAUACCCCCGUAGUCCCUGUCUCUUAUAC